AUACGUAGGGGGCGAGCGUUGUCCGGAAUUAUUGGGCGUAAAGGGUGCGUAGGCGGCAUGGCAAGUCCUGUGUGAAAGGUCGCGGCUUAACCGCGGUGGGUCAUGGGAAACUGCCACGCUUGAGUGCCGGAGAGGAUAGCGGAAUUCCACGUGUAGCGGUGAAAUGCGUAGAUAUGUGGAGGAACACCUGUGGCGAAGGCGGCUAUCUGGAAGGUAACUGACGCUGAGGCACGACAGCUGGGGGAGCAAACAGGAUUAGAUACCCUGGUAGUCCCAGCCGUAAACGAUGAGUGCUAGGUGUUGCGGGUAUCGACCCCUGCAGUGCCGAAGUCAACACAAUAAGCACUCCGCCUGGGGAGUACGGCCGCAAGGCUGAA
RNAcentral lists this ribosomal RNA (377 nucleotides) under uncultured bacterium. RNAcentral's name for it is "bacterial SSU rRNA". It matches the Rfam family "Bacterial small subunit ribosomal RNA", at positions 523 to 898 of the family's 1533-position model. The record is from RNAcentral.